GGAGAUAUAACUUAAAGGUAGAGUAGUUCGCUUCUAAUGAAUUUGUAUUGGUUCGAUUCCAUUUAUCUUAU
This 71-nucleotide transfer RNA is filed under the name Melanopsichium pennsylvanicum. RNAcentral's name for it is "transfer RNA-Arg(TCT)". It matches the Rfam family "tRNA". From Rfam's summary of the family: Transfer RNA (tRNA) molecules are approximately 80 nucleotides in length. Their secondary structure includes four short double-helical elements and three loops (D, anti-codon, and T loops). Further hydrogen bonds mediate the characteristic L-shaped molecular structure. tRNAs have two regions of fundamental functional importance: the anti-codon, which is responsible for specific mRNA codon recognition, and the 3' end, to which the tRNAs corresponding amino acid is attached (by aminoacyl-tRNA synthetases). tRNAs cope with the degeneracy of the genetic code in two manners: having more than one tRNA (with a specific anti-codon) for a particular amino acid; and 'wobble' base-pairing, i.e. permitting non-standard base-pairing at the 3rd anti-codon position. Lineage: Eukaryota; Fungi; Basidiomycota; Ustilaginomycetes; Ustilaginales. The record is from RNAcentral.